GCCUGGCUCCGGGUCUGCCUCCGGGUAGACCCCACCCUUGUGUAUAUUAUAUUGUUGCUUUAGCAGGUCGCCCUCUGGGCGUCGGCCUCGGCUGACUGUGCCUGCUAGAGGACCCUAAAUUUUGAAAUACAGUGUCGUCUGAGUACUAUUUAAUAGUUAAAACUUUCAACAACGGAUCUCUUGGUUCUGGCAUCGAUGAAGAACGCAGCGAAAUGCGAUAAGUAAUGUGAAUUGCAGAAUUCAGUGAAUCAUCGAAUCUUUGAACGCACAUUGCGCCCCUUGGUAUUCCGGGGGGCAUGCCUGUUCGAGCGUCAUUUAGACCAACUCCCGCUCCGGCGGGGUCUUGGGCUGCGCCUUUGGGCGGGCCUUAAAACCAGUGGCGGUGCCCUAAGGCUCUACGCGUAGUAAUUCUUCUCGCGAUAGGGUCCUUGCGGUGUCUUGCCAGCAACCCCCAACUCUCUAGGGUUGACCUCGGAUCAGGUAGGGAUACCCGCUGAACUUAAGCAUAUCAAUAAGCGGAGGA
This 523-nucleotide ribosomal RNA is filed under the name Hymenoscyphus fraxineus. Its description in RNAcentral is "eukaryotic LSU rRNA". The stretch from base 161 to 314 matches the Rfam family "5.8S ribosomal RNA". The record is from RNAcentral. Lineage: Eukaryota; Fungi; Ascomycota; Leotiomycetes; Helotiales; Helotiaceae.